GGUGGGGAAAAGGUUUGUGUGGGGAGGAUGGAUGGAUGGUUCCACAAGCACAGGUGGAACCUCCUACUGUUCUGGGAGGGACCUAAAGGAGAGGUCGGGAUGGGAGACUUUGGGGCACAAAGCUGGGAUAGUCUGCCCUCUACUGGCCCCCCACCCUCCUAGCCCCUGCUCCGCUAGCUGUCCUGCUCCGGGCCACAGUUGUGGGGCAAUCCCACAGCGGGGAAGGGGCCUAGACGCACCUCUUGGGAGUGAGAGCCGGGUAGAGACAGAGGGCUAGUAUAAGGGCUUGGUCCUGCGCCAAGGGAGAUUGUUGCUCCUUAUUGGAGGAGUGAAGAGGAGUCUGUAGUCCUGCCUCCUGGGGGCACCCACCAGUCCCAUGGCAACCACACUGUUUGGUCCUUUAGGGAUGUUCACAGAUAUUCCUCAUCUUCUGAGCACAUGUUGCAGAUGGCAGUGAUGUCAAGACAGAACCUCCAUUAACCUGGAUCCCCUGCUGCCCAAAUAGGACAUUAGGGUACGAGUGGGUCAAUCUUUGUGGUGUUAAGCUAUUACGUUUGUGGGAAGUUUGUUAGUGCAGAAUAACCUAGCCUAUCCCAAGUAGAAUGCAUAGUAAUAUCACCAGUGAUGUGGGGCUGUCACCUUAAAUAGGCCACACCUAGUACUGGGAGACUAUGUUACUGUAAAGUCAGGACUGUGGCUUGUCAAAGAUCUAACACUUACCUCUGGGACCUUCUUCAGCAGGAGGGACCAUCACCUUGCCAAAGAUAGGAAGGGAUUCCCUGAGGAUGUGAACUCUACCUCCCCUGUUGUGCCAGUCCCCAUUAAGAAGAGAGCUCUGUGGCUCGGCACCUAUGGCUCAAGCAGCUAAGGCACCAGCCACAUACACCUGAGCUGGCGGGUUCGAAUCCAGCCCGGACCUGCCAAACAACAAUGAUGGCUGCAACCAAAAAAUAGCCAGGCGUUGUGGCAGGCGCCUGUAGUCCCAGCUACUUGGGAGGUGGAGGCAGGAGAAUCGCUUGAGCUCAGGAGUUGGAGAUUGCUGUGAGCUGUGAUGCCAAGGCAUUCUACCCAGGGCGACAGCUUGAGGCUCUGUCUCAAAAAAAAAAAAAAAAAAAACCAACAAAGAAGAGAACUCUGUUUCUGCAAUUUGCCAUUGUAUCUCAGACCCUAGACUGAGGCCUGGAUCACAGAAUACUUAAUUCACACACAGUGUAGGACUUACUCUAGGUCCUUUCUAUAAAUUUUUCCAUCAUCACAUCUAAGAACAGGCUGUGAUCCUCCCUCUCCUCCCUCGGCCCCUCCACACAUCUCUCUGCCUUGAGCUACCUGUUAACUCUCUUUGGCCCCAGUCCCAGGCUGGACAGCCUUCUAUUCUGCCUGAUUUCAACAAUGACACUGCAUAGGAACUUCCCUACUAUCGAAGUAAUACUCGUGAAUAAUAACAUUCAUAAACUCUCACUUUGAAGCAUUUGAAAAUUAGAGGUACCUGUGGCUCAAAGGAGUAGGGCAUGGGGCCCCAUAUACCAGAGGUGGUGAGUCAAACCCGGCCCUGUCCAAAAACUGCAAAAAAAAAAAAAAAAAAAUUAGAGGCAAGCAGAAAAAAAAUCAUCCAUAAUCUCCUCACCUACAUGAGAAAGAACUAUUACUGACACUUUUACCUUUCCUUGCAAUCUUUUUUCUCUUUGUAUUCUCCUUCCUGUAAUUUUAGGGAGAUCCUACUAAGGUCUACUCGUUUGGAGGAGAGGGAAACGCCAUCCACAAAUACAGAAAUUGUCAGAGCUCGAAGGGGACUUAGGAAUCCUCCAACACCCCCCUGCCAUUACCAAUGAGAAUCCUGCUUUAUACUAUUCUGGGUGCAAAUGGGUGAAAAGUGAAGACAGAUGUCUGGCAGGACCCACACCAACCCAGGUUAUUGUUGUUCCUGUGCUAGGAGGAACCAGAAGAGUGGUAAAAAGAUAUUAUCAUGUUUUGAAUUUUUUGUAAUAGAAGUUCAGUCAAGUACUAUUUGCAUUUAAAGCACAUUAUUAUUAAAAGAAAAGAGAAGCUAUGGAACAGAAAGCAAUUGCUAUGUCAAGGGUUGCACAGCUAUUAAUAUUACUGGCAAGUUGGUUAAGGACACUAGUUCCUUAAGCAUUAGCCAGUCUCCUGGUAUCCUUGCCUGUCCACCCCAGUGUCCCCAAGGAUGAGAGUCAUUCCAGGGCAGCCCCUUUGCUCCUACAAUAUGGGCACCCAAAUGCCGAGAUGGCAUGGGAAAAGGGAAAAUUCUGCAGGCCCCAACCUGACCUCCCAGCCCACAAGUCCAAUCACUGUCAAACCUAAGCUGGGAUCAAAUGCCUUCAAGUUCAGACUCAGCUCCAUCAGAGAGGGGCAGUGGGUGCUCUCAAGACGAAAGGGAUCCCUGGUGAAUCAGGAAAAGUUAUUGGGCUGGAAAAUGAUUAAAGGGCUGAGCGUGGGAGGGGAUUUCCACCAAGAUAGCCAGGCCCAGGAGCAAGCCUGGGCUGGUUGGCUGUAGGGUUGCUGCCCACUUGAGGUCUGUUGCAAUGGUGCCCAUAAAACCUAAGUCAUUAGAGACUUAAAACCAUGACUGUUUUUUUUUUUUUUUCAUGUUUCCCUUUUAAAAAAACAGAUCCCAGGAAACCCCAAAGCCCUAGAACAAAGGGCUGUACAUCAAAGGGGUUCCAGCAGGUCAGGAGAAGUCUCAGGGAGAGGUCAGCAGAAGGGUUGGUCUCCCUAUCCCCAGGCUUCCAGGGAGAGAAGAGGAGGGAGGGACCUACGGGUUGGAAGGUGAAUGCGAAGUCCAAAAGUAGGGGUCUGGGGUAGGGAGUAGGGCUGUAGAUAGACCCAUUUUCCUGCCCCAUCUAGGUGAGGAGAAGAUACCUGGCCUGACAAAUCCAGGAAUGUGGGACAGGUUGAGGAGGGAGUAGUAAUGCCCUUCUUUACUUGCCUAUGUGGGGAGUUCCCUAACCCCCAUAAACUAGUCAUGCUUUCUUGCAAAUCUGUACUGAAUUUGCAAGAUAGAGGUAAACAGCCUCCUUUUUACAGAUAAGGAAACUAAGGUCAGAUAGAGGAAUUGAUUGUCCAAGGUAACAAACACUGAGUGUUACAGCUGGGGCAGGAGUGACCUGGCUCCUAGCUAAGUGCUUCUUCCCCAACACCAGUGGUUCUCACACAUCAGAAUCACCAGAGGGCUUGUUAACGCUGGGCUCCAAACCCAGAGUUUCCGACUCAGUAGGUCUGGGGUG
Molecule: long non-coding RNA, 3242 nt
Organism: Nycticebus coucang (slow loris)
Lineage: Eukaryota; Metazoa; Chordata; Mammalia; Primates; Lorisidae
Exons: 3
Source: RefSeq, a predicted model, not a curated record